This 253-nucleotide ribosomal RNA is filed under the name uncultured bacterium. RNAcentral's name for it is "partial 16S ribosomal RNA". It matches the Rfam family "Bacterial small subunit ribosomal RNA", at positions 524 to 776 of the family's 1533-position model. The record is from RNAcentral.
UACGGGGGGGGCAAGCGUUGUUCGGAAUUACUGGGCGUAAAGGGCGCGUAGGCGGCUCGUUUAGUCGGGUGUGAAAUCCCGGGGCUCAACCCCGGAACUGCAUUCGAUACUGGCGGGCUAGAGACCGGAAGAGGUGGGUGGAAUACCCAGUGUAGAGGUGAAAUUCGUAGAUAUUGGGUGGAACACCGGUGGCGAAGGCGGCUCACUGGUCCGGUUCUGACGCUGAGGCGCGAAAGCGUGGGGAGCAAACAGG